GCAUAUCAAUAAGCGGAGGAAAAGAAACUAACAAGGAUUCCCCUAGUAACGGCGAGUGAAGCGGGAAGAGCUCAAAUUUGAAAUCUGGUAGCCUUCGGUUGCCCGAGUUGUAAUCUAGAGAAGUGUUUUCCGUGCCGGCCCAUGUACAAGUCCCUUGGAACAGGGCGUCAUAGAGGGUGAGAAUCCCGUCCUUGACAUGGACCCCCGGUGCUUUGUGAUACACUUUCAACGAGUCGAGUUGUUUGGGAAUGCAGCUCAAAAUGGGUGGUGAAUUCCAUCUAAAGCUAAAUAUUGGCGAGAGACCGAUAGCGAACAAGUACCGUGAGGGAAAGAUGAAAAGCACUUUGGAAAGAGAGUUAAACAGUACGUGAAAUUGUUGAAAGGGAAACGAUUGAAGUCAGUCAUGCUCUUGGGACUUACCUCCCUUGAGUGGGGUCAACAUCAGUUUUGAUCGAUGGAUAAAGGCACGGGGAAGGUAGCACUCUCGGGUGAACUUAUAGCCUCGCGUCAUAUACAUUGAUUGGGACUGAGGAACGCAGCAUGCCUUUUGGCCGGGAUUCGUCCACGUACAUGCUUAGGAUGUUGACAUAAUGGCUUUAAACGACCCGUCUUGAAACACGGACC
Molecule: ribosomal RNA, 624 nt
Filed under: Naganishia albida
Lineage: Eukaryota; Fungi; Basidiomycota; Tremellomycetes; Filobasidiales; Filobasidiaceae
Description: eukaryotic LSU rRNA
Rfam family: Eukaryotic large subunit ribosomal RNA
Source: RNAcentral